GGAAAGAGAGAGGCAUGUCUGACCUUAGGCUCACACCUAGCGAAAGGCAUAAUGUCAGCCAUAUAGUUAGUUCAGCCUUGCAUCCCACACCAUGCCAGAGUGGAAGGCAAGAGAGAUCUUGUAUAAAGGGGCUUCUUGUUGGCUUCCUGAUCUCUAUCACAGAGACACAGAGAAGAGUCGAGGCCAGCUAUGAGCACGUGGAGAGAGAGGAGGAGGGCAUUGCGGAGAGGGAGGAAGGGGCGAGAAGUGGCGAGAAAUUCACCUACAUCAGUCAAAGUCCUCCCUUGAGGAUCGCCACGUGGAAGCUCUGGGGAUUUCACAAGCAGCACAGAGAACUCCAGAUGAACUGAUGAUCCUUUUUUCCUAAUCCAGCAGUCAGGAGACAGGAAAGGGGCACUGCUGUGGGCAUGAGUACAAAGUUCU
RNAcentral lists this long non-coding RNA (423 nucleotides) under Mus pahari (shrew mouse). RNAcentral describes it as "lncRNA (MGP_PahariEiJ_G0005715.1)". Lineage: Eukaryota; Metazoa; Chordata; Mammalia; Rodentia; Muridae. The record is from RNAcentral.